AUUUAAAUAGCUUAUUUAGAGUAUAAUAUUGAAGAUAUUAAGGAGAUAAAAUUUAUCUUUAAAUA
RNAcentral lists this transfer RNA (65 nucleotides) under Cyana sp. MT-2014. Its description in RNAcentral is "tRNA-Phe". Lineage: Eukaryota; Metazoa; Arthropoda; Insecta; Lepidoptera; Erebidae. The record is from RNAcentral.